Molecule: long non-coding RNA, 775 nt
Filed under: Sinocyclocheilus grahami
Lineage: Eukaryota; Metazoa; Chordata; Actinopteri; Cypriniformes; Cyprinidae
Description: lncRNA (ENSSGRG00000006152.1)
Source: RNAcentral
AAUGAUUUUUCUUGUAUGAAGGUUAUCAAGGACCAUCUCAGGAAGAGUUCUUUUCCAGAAUGCUACAAAAUACUUUGUGAACAACCAAAAAAUGUUUUCCGAACACAUUUCCAUGAAUGCAUUGCUGACAGCCAAGGUUCUCAGUGUGAACGCCAAGAAAGAGCAUGUGAACCUGUCACUGCUGUCAAAGGACACUGGCAAACCAGAUCUGCUCCCAGAAUCCCUUGAGCUUCCAUUGCGUUUGACAGAAGAGCAGAAGCAAGAACGUGACAAGAAAGCCAUCAAGAGGAAGCGGGUUAAUUCUGAGAGCCAGCAACAAGACGAUGAGAAAAAUGGACAGAUGAUUAAAAAGAAAAAAGAAGGCCCAGUAAAGGGCAAAUCCACAGAAAAGAAGAAAACGAUAAAAAAGAAAACGAAAACAGAGGAUAAUGACAGUGGUGUAGAAGUGUUCUGCAGAGAGGAGGAAGUAAUGCCGUUGCGUAAAAAUCAAGACCAAGUAAAGGUGACACAUCUUCUCUUUUCAGAUCAAUUCGAUUGAUUUUAUAUUUUAAUAUGGGUGUACAGCUGCUUCUCUGAUGUGUAACAGUUGUCGUCUGAUUGUUUAGGGUAAGCAGGAGGCAAAGGAACCAGAACGGCUGCAGGUGGCUUUUGGCUUCCCGUGGGAAUCCACACUGUGCUCUUUAACACCAUUUGCCGCAGUAGACGACACCCAUGAUUCCAGUGAGGAUGAGCAGGAAGUCACAAGCAAGGUGAGCUCACACAUGCGUCAAAACUA